CUUUGAAAAAGGUUCACAGUUAGUCAAGUACAGCCGGAAAGGGAAACCUAAAUUUCGUGCAUUCAGACUUUCUCCGGACGAAACAACUCUUAUCUGGUUAUACAUGGAGAAGAAAAAACUCUGAAGUUAUCAACAGUCUCAAGGAUAAUACCUGGACAGAGAACCGCUGUAUUCAAAAGAUAUUUGGCCCUGAAAAAGAUUACUUGUCAUUUUCACUUUAUAUAAUAACGGUGAAAGAUCUCUUGAUCUG
Molecule: long non-coding RNA, 250 nt
Organism: Pistacia vera
Lineage: Eukaryota; Viridiplantae; Streptophyta; Magnoliopsida; Sapindales; Anacardiaceae
Exons: 3
Source: RefSeq, a predicted model, not a curated record